GCUGCUCGCCGUCGCCGGUCGCCGCCGUCGCCUCCGUCAAGGCCAAUCCUGCCGCCUCACCGCUCCUGCCACCGCACGGUUCCGCUGUCGACUCCCAUGAAUUUGCAAGAAUGAGUGAUAAUAGAUCGUGGAUGUACGCGAGAUACAAUGAUCGUGCUGCAUUUGAAACGGGACUUGAGAGUUUCCUCGAGUUUGCGAUAAAUCAAACAGCGUAUACAGAUGGAAUUGGUAACAUUAGGUGCCCGUGUAGGAAGUGUAAGAAUAAAGUCUUUGCAUCUGUACCUACAGUCAGAGAACAUGUUACUAGGCGUGGAUUUGUCCACAAUUACACGAACUGGUGUUAUCAAGGGGAAGCACCAGUGUAUAUGCCAGCAGAACAUACUAUAAUGGAUGAGGAUGAUGGGUCAUACAGUAAUUACCAAAGGAUGGUGCAUGAUCAUGCUGGACCUAGUAAUUAUCAAGAUCCUCCAAAUCUUGAUGA
Long non-coding RNA from Salvia miltiorrhiza (redroot sage), 481 nucleotides. RefSeq lists it as uncharacterized. The transcript has 3 exons. Lineage: Eukaryota; Viridiplantae; Streptophyta; Magnoliopsida; Lamiales; Lamiaceae. The record is from RefSeq and is a predicted model, not a curated record.